AGUGAACGCUGGCGGUAGGCCUAACACAUGCAAGUCGAACGGCAGCACAGUAAGAGCUUGCUCUUACGGGUGGCGAGUGGCGGACGGCUGAGGAAUACAUCGGAAUCUACUUUUUCGUGGGGGAUAACGUAGGGAAACUUACGCUAAUACCGCAUACGACCUACGGGUGAAAGCAGGGGAUCUUCGGACCUUGCGCGAUUGAAUGAGCCGAUGUCGGAUUAGCUAGUUGGCGGGGUAAAGGCCCACCAAGGCGACGAUCCGUAGCUGGUCUGAGAGGAUGAUCAGCCACACUGGAACUGAGACACGGUCCAGACUCCUACGGGAGGCAGCAGUGGGGAAUAUUGGACAAAGGGCGCAAGCCUGAUCCAGCCAUACCGCGUGGGUGAAGAAGGCCUUCGGGUUGUAAAGCCCUUUUGUUGGGAAAGAAAAGCAGCAGGUUAAUACCCCGCUGUUCUGACGGUACCCAAAGAAUAAGCACCGGCUAACUUCGUG
Molecule: ribosomal RNA, 492 nt
Filed under: uncultured bacterium
Lineage: Bacteria
Description: partial 16S ribosomal RNA
Rfam family: Bacterial small subunit ribosomal RNA
Source: RNAcentral